GAUGAAGAACGUAGCGAAAUGCGAUACUUGGUGUGAAUUGCAGAAUCCCGUGAACCAUCGAGUCUUUGAACGCAAGUUGCGCCUCAAGCCAUUAGGUUGAGGGCACGUCUGCCUGGGCGUCACAUAUCGUUGCCUGAUGCCAGUUUCCUCGUGAUGGGUGACUGUGCAGGGCGAAUGAUGGCUUCCCGUGAGCAUUGUUGCCUCAUGGUUGGUUGAAAAUUGAGUCCUUGGUAGGGAGCGCCGUGAUAGAUGGUGGUUGAGUGACGAACGAGACCCAAUCAUGUGAGACCCCUAGCGAAUUUGGCCUUCAUGACCCACAUGCGUCUUUGGAACGCUCAUGACGAGACCUCAGGUCAGGCGGGGCUACCCGCUGAGUUUAAGCAUAUCAAUAAGCGGAGGA
Molecule: unclassified non-coding RNA, 400 nt
Filed under: soil metagenome
Description: partial contains 5.8S ribosomal RNA, internal transcribed spacer 2, and large subunit ribosomal RNA
Rfam family: 5.8S ribosomal RNA (bases 1-122)
Source: RNAcentral